This is a non-coding RNA of Bombyx mori (domestic silkworm), 84 nucleotides long. Lineage: Eukaryota; Metazoa; Arthropoda; Insecta; Lepidoptera; Bombycidae. The record is from Rfam.
UUAAUUCCAAUUUGUAUGGAGUUGGAACGUUUGCCUACGUUUGCCGCUAGAGGCGCUGUUCCAGCUCCAUACAAAUUUGCGUUA